GGUUAAAGGUACCCGUACCGCAAACCGACACAGGUGGGUGAGGAGAGUAUCCUAAGGCCAGCGAGAGAACUGUUGUUAAGGAACUCGGCAAAAUGACCCCGUAACUUAGGGAUAAGGGGUGCCACCAUCAGGUGGCCGCAGAGAAUAGGCCCAAGCGACUGUUUACCACAAACAUAGGUUUCUGCUAAGUCGCAAGACGAUGUAUAGGAGCUGACGCCUGCCCGGUGCUGGAAGGUUAAGGGGAUCUGUUAGAGCAAUCGAAGCAGUGAACUUAAGCCCCAGUAAACGGCGGCCGUAACUAUAACGGUCCUAAGGUAGCGAAAUUCCUUGUCGGGUAAGUUCCGACCCGCACGAAAGGCGUAACGAUUUGGGCACUGUCUCA
This 382-nucleotide ribosomal RNA is filed under the name Clostridioides difficile. Its description in RNAcentral is "bacterial LSU rRNA". It matches the Rfam family "Bacterial large subunit ribosomal RNA", at positions 1630 to 2023 of the family's 2925-position model. Lineage: Bacteria; Bacillati; Bacillota; Clostridia; Peptostreptococcales; Peptostreptococcaceae. The record is from RNAcentral.